This 274-nucleotide ribosomal RNA is filed under the name uncultured bacterium. Its description in RNAcentral is "partial 16S ribosomal RNA". It matches the Rfam family "Bacterial small subunit ribosomal RNA", at positions 523 to 796 of the family's 1533-position model. The record is from RNAcentral.
AUACAGAGGGUGCAAGCGUUAUUCGGAAUUACUGGGCGUAAAGCGCGCGUAGGCGGAUGAUUAAGUCAGUUGUGAAAGCCCUGGGCUCAACCUAGGAACUGCAUCUGAUACUGGUCGUAUAGAGUUUAAGAGAGGGAAGUGGAAUUCCAGGUGUAGCAGUGAAAUGCGUAGAUAUCUGGAGGAACAUCAGUGGCGAAGGCGACUUCCUGGCUUAAAACUGACGCUGAGGUGCGAAAGCGUGGGUAGCGAACGGAAUUAGAAACCCCAGUAGUCC